GGAUGAGCCCGCGGCCUAUCAGCUUGUUGGUGAGGUAACGGCUCACCAAGGCGACGACGGGUAGCCGGCCUGAGAGGGCGACCGGCCACACUGGGACUGAGACACGGCCCAGACUCCUACGGGAGGCAGCAGUGGGGAAUAUUGCACAAUGGGCGAAAGCCUGAUGCAGCGACGCCGCGUGAGGGAUGACGGCCUUCGGGUUGUAAACCUCUUUCAGCAGGGAAGAAGCGAAAGUGACGGUACCUGCAGAAGAAGCGCCGGCUAACUACGUGCCAGCAGCCGCGGCCG
RNAcentral lists this ribosomal RNA (288 nucleotides) under uncultured Streptomyces sp. RNAcentral's name for it is "partial 16S ribosomal RNA". It matches the Rfam family "Bacterial small subunit ribosomal RNA", at positions 223 to 523 of the family's 1533-position model. Lineage: Bacteria; Bacillati; Actinomycetota; Actinomycetes; Kitasatosporales; Streptomycetaceae. The record is from RNAcentral.